AGUACCGUGAGGGAAAGGCGAAAAGAACCCCGGGAGGGGAGUGAAAUAGAUCCUGAAACCGCAUGCUUACAAAAAGUAGGAGCCUGGAAACGGGUGACUGCGUACCUUUUGUAUAAUGGGUUCAGCGACUUACAUUCAGUGGCAAGGUUAACCGAAUAGGGAAGCCGUAGAGAAAUCGAGUCCGAAUAGGGGCGAAAUUAGUCGCUGGGUGUAGACCCGAAACCAAGUGAUCUAUCCAUGGCCAGGAUGAAGGUGCCGUAACAGGUACUGGAGGUCCGAACCGACUAGUGUUGCAAAACUAGCGGAUGAGCUGUGGAUAGGGGUGAAAGGCUAAACAAACUUGGAAAUAGCUGGUUCUCUCCGAAAACUAUUUAGGUAGUGCCUCAAGUAUUACCGUUGGGGGUAGAGCACUGGAUGGGCUAGGGGGUCGCGAGAUCUACCAAACCUAACCAAACUCCGAAUACCCACAAGUACAGCUCGGGAGACAGACGGCGGGUGCUAAGGUCCGUCGUCAAAAGGGAAACAGCCCUAACCUACNGCUAAGGUCCCCAAGUCAUCACUAAGUGGGAAAGCAUGUGGGACUUCCAAAACAACCAGGAGGUUGGCUUAGAAGCAGCCAU
This 620-nucleotide ribosomal RNA is filed under the name uncultured bacterium. RNAcentral's name for it is "bacterial LSU rRNA". It matches the Rfam family "Bacterial large subunit ribosomal RNA", at positions 497 to 1119 of the family's 2925-position model. The record is from RNAcentral.